Molecule: non-coding RNA, 555 nt
Organism: Salvia hispanica
Lineage: Eukaryota; Viridiplantae; Streptophyta; Magnoliopsida; Lamiales; Lamiaceae
Source: RefSeq, a predicted model, not a curated record
GGAGAAAUCGGAAUGGGAAAUCGCACCGGUUCUGCACGACGCCACUAACGUGUUUCAGUAAUCCCAUCCUACAAAGAUGCACAUGUGCAGCAUUACUCUGAUAUAUUUAGAUGGGCUCUGAGUCACUAGGUUUUGCACGGCAACAUCUGUACUUGAUAUGAAUCUACGAUUGCUCUUAGUGAGAUAGCUGCACGGCUGCGCCUACUCCUGCUGCUGUUUGCCUUUUAAAGUUUAAAUGGAGACACUGUCGAUUAAUUUUAUUUAGAUGUUCUCAUUGUUUUUGUACAAAUUCAUUCUGGAGAGUUUGCAAUUUGAUAUUGUAUUAAAUAUUGGUGGUGUAAGACAAGAUACUCAUGUGCUUUCCUUUGCUAAAAGGAGUAUAUCUGCCUGAAUUCUUCUUUUAAAGAAACAUAUGCAUAUCAUAGAUCUGGGCAGCUUGUCAUGUUCCGAUUCUGAUAGUAGUUUCUUACCUUCACAUUUACAAACUGUGGAUUCCUAUGCCUAAAAAUGACAUUAUGAAUUUGUGUAUGUGCACAUACAUGAACAUCCACAUGU